AAAAUAGAUCAACUGUAAUUGGUUCGAAGAUCCACUAUUAAGUGACAGGCACAUUACUAUUAUGAUUUAUGAUGUAACCAGCAUAUUAAUUAAAAAUUGGACCGAAGCGAAUAUUUUAUUAAAUUUGCCCAUAAUACUGUGGUAUUUUGUUGUGUCUGUGAACCACUUUUAGACCAUCAGAAAUCUCUCUCCGAUCAUCAACUUCAGGGGUGGUUUAUUAUAGCAAUUUUUAUAGUAAGCACAUUGAGCAGGCACAUCUCUGAGAAGAAGUGGACUUAUAUUAGCAUUUGGCAUAGUCAUUGGUCU
This is a non-coding RNA of Cinara cedri, 306 nucleotides long. The record is from the annotation of a GenBank genome assembly. NCBI's taxonomy places the organism in Eukaryota, Metazoa, Arthropoda, Insecta, Hemiptera, Aphididae.